GAUGAACGCUGGCGGCGUGCCUAACACAUGCAAGUCGAACGGGGAAUAUCUUAUUGAGCCUUCGGUGGAUUUGAUUUAUUUCUAGUGGCGGACGGGUGAGUAACGCGUGGGUAACCUUGCUUAUACAGGGGGAUAAAAGUCAGAAAUGGCUGCUAAUACCGCAUUAGCGCCCAGAGCUGCCUGGCCCAGUGUGAAAAACUCAGUUGGUAUAAGAUGGACCCGCGUUGGAUUAGCUAGUUGGUGGGGUAAGGGCCUACCAAAGCGACGAUCAAUAGCCGGUGUGAGGAGGUGAACCGCCACAAUGGGAACGAGACAAGGCCCAAACUCCUAAGGGAGGGAGGCGUGGGGGAUAUUGGACAAUGGGGGGAAACCCGAAGGAGCGAAGCCGCGGGAGAGAAGAAGUAUUUCGGUAUGUAAAGCUCUAUCAGCAGGGAAGAUAAUGACAGGACCUGAAUAAGAAGCCCCGGGUAAAUACGUG
RNAcentral lists this ribosomal RNA (478 nucleotides) under uncultured bacterium. RNAcentral's name for it is "partial 16S ribosomal RNA". It matches the Rfam family "Bacterial small subunit ribosomal RNA", at positions 28 to 507 of the family's 1533-position model. The record is from RNAcentral.